This 514-nucleotide ribosomal RNA is filed under the name uncultured bacterium. Its description in RNAcentral is "bacterial SSU rRNA". It matches the Rfam family "Bacterial small subunit ribosomal RNA", at positions 26 to 518 of the family's 1533-position model. The record is from RNAcentral.
UACGAGGACGAACGCUGGCGGCGUGCCUAACACAUGCAAGUCGAGCGGGGACAUACGACGGAACCAAAGUUUCGGAUGGAGGUGAAGGAUGUAUGUUCUAGCGGCGGACGGGUGAGUAACGCGUGAGCAACCUGUCCCUUACAGGGGGAUAACACAGCGAAAGUUGUACUAAUACCGCAUGAGACCACGGGGAGACAUCUUUCUGAGGGUAAAAGGAGCAAUCCGGUUUGGGGUGGGCUCGCGUCCGAUUAGCCAGUUGGCGGGGUAACGGCCCACCAAAGCGACGAUCGGUAGCCGACCUGAGAGGGUGAACGGCCACAUUGGAACUGAGAGACGGUCCAAACUCCUACGGGAGGCAGCAGUGGGGAAUAUUGGGCAAUGGGCGAAAGCCUGAACCCCCAGCAACGCCGCGUGAGUGAAGAAGGCCUUCGGGUUGUAAAGCUCUGUUAUAGUUGACGAAGGAAGUGACGGUAGGCUAUAAGGAAGCCCCGGCUAACUACGUGCCAGCCGCUGC